UUUGGAAUACUGUUUGGCCAAUAGCUUAAACGUAUUUCUGGCUAACUCAUAUCUUAAAUUAACCCAUCUCCAUUAAUCUGUGUAUCGCCAUGAGGCUGUGGCUUACAGGGUAAAGUUCCUGCAUCUGUCUCCAGUGGGGCUACAUGGCUUCUCCUGACUCUGCCUUCUUUCUCCCAGCAUUCAGUUUAGUUUUCCCCGCCUACCUCUGUUCUGCCCUGCUAUAGGCCAAAGCAGUUUCUUUACUCAUUAACCAAUAAAAGCAACACAUAGAAGGACCUUCCACACCAGUCCCCCAUCUUCUUUUUGGUAACUAAUGCUUCUGACACAUAGAUACCCUCAAUUGUACCCAUGAAACGUGCUUCCUGCCAGCCUGCUGGCUGAUGUAUUUACACACAGCCAUUCUAAUGAGAGAACCAACAGUCAUUUGGGUCCCUGCCAUCAAUGCUACCCACUUCCACGUCAUUACCAUUAUGGCCCAAACUCAAUUAGAGGAGGUAAGUAGGACAGAGAAUUUGGGAUUAUGGCAGCUACCAUCAUGGCCAUUGUGCUGUGAGUGGGAGGGGCUGUGGCUGGAGUGGUAUCACUAACACAUACGGCCAGUCAACACCUUUAUCAGCUAUACAUAUAUUACAACAAACUGACCUCUGGGCUGAGGUACUGACAUUGGCGAGGGACAUGUCACUGCUAGCGUGUGACCCUAAAUAUCAGGUGUUUUGCUUCAACCACUACAAGGUUCCUAUACCUCCUUAGAAAGACUUCAACUGACACAAUACAUUAAGGUACCCAGUCGGAUAAGCUCCUUAGCUAUUCCAUAUUACUUUGGGAGCAAAUUCAUCGUUUAAAUAUAACUAGAGUCCCAGGACGUCCUUGGAAUCUGAUUGUUUGACUAAGGUUUGGAACAAUUUAAAAGGACUUUUGAUCCCUCCUGGAUCCUUACAUAUGCUCUGCUUGGCAGGGCGGUUCUGCUAAUUCUUCUCUUGUUAAAGUGUCUCCUACAGCAUAUUCAUCAACAAAAAGCGGCUAUCAAGGUGACCAUCUAGGUACCAACAGCUCUUUAUCCAGAACGAAGCCCUCCUGGAAAGGAGCAUGUGCAGGAAAUACUUCCUGAAAGUCAGCCUGCGUCUGCCUGAGGGCCCUGACGACAAAAACCGAGCCAUGGCGAGAGAUGACGUGGGCCAAGGAAAAGCAGCCCAGUCACAUCUGCAGAUGGCAGGACAACAGAUCCUUCCCCUGGCGGGGGGGAUAUAAGUAUCUUACCAGGUCCAAGAGGUACCGGACAGUUCCACAGAGCCUGGACAGCAGUGAAACAACCAGCCACCCCAGGAUGUGGUCAGCACCCCAGCUUUCUCAGGUCCCCAACAUGCAAAACCCCAGGUCAGCAGGAAGCAGUCUCGAGAACUCAGCAACCUCAUCCUGCCUCACCUGCUACCCCUUUCUAACUCCUCACGCUUUUUAUAAUAAACAAAGGGAGGACUGUUAGCAUUCAGGCAUCUGCACUGCCUGUCCUUGGGGACCUGGCAGGAUGUGCCCAUGCACUUGCCAGUAUCCAGGCAGUACUCUGGCCGGCUCAGGGUCCUGACUACUCCGUCUCUGUGCACUUGCCCGAUGCUCUGAUUUAAGAGACUGAUCCAAGUCAGGCAGUGGUGGUUUAUUCCUUUAAUCCCAGUGUAAGACUUUAAGACAAUCCUAAAGCCAUUUUUGAUAAUUCUGAAUCCUCUCAGCCUCUGUGCCAUAGUGCUUCCCCCUCCUCCCCUGGGAAUCAAGGACCUAACAGCUACACUCGCACGUACUCAGUUCCUGAACAAUUACCCAUAUACGUAUGCUUUGGUUCGGUCCCCUGGGAAAUGGGGUCAAAAUGACCUCUUACCUCAUCUGAUCUGGCAACAGCUCUCCAGUCAAUUAUUGAUAACAGCCCUUUCAAAUAAGCCAAUCAAAAUAGUCAAAGAACAACCCCCCUUGCUUCUGUGGCCCCUUUAAAAGUAGACUGUACCCGCUAUUCGAGGUCCCUUGGCUUCCCGAAUGCUGGGGGACCCUGUCAUGACAGAAUUAGUAAAAUCCUCAUGCUUUUGCAUCGGCUAUGAUAUAUAAGAUGGUCUCUGGGGGCGACUCCUCGGUGUUUGGACACUAGAGUCCAACACCAGCACUCAAGAGGCAGAGGCAGGGUGGAUCUCUGUGAGUUUGAGGUCAGCCUGGUCUACAUGAGCGAGUUCCAGGACAGGCUCUAAAUCCACACAGAGAAACCCUGUCUUGGAAAAAAAGAGAGAGACAAGCUCCGCCCGUACCCCCCUUUUCCACAGCUCCUCUGAAGAGGCAGGCAAGCUGGCCUUUGUGCUUCUCUCUCCCACUUUCCAUUCCCCUUUCCCAGUCUCCACGCUGAUGCCCUCGUCAGUCAUCUCGCGAGCAUUCACACCGUUUUUUUAAAUUAUAGCAUCACGGCUAGAUUGUCUUGAGUCUCAGAUGAUGUUUGGAAUUUUUAAACAAUUUUGGCUUUUAAAAAUGUUGGGGACUCUUUUUCUUAAAUGGAAACUUUUCAAAAUUAGAACAAAUGGUGGUGGUGGCGCACGCCUUUAAUCCCAGCACUUGGGAGGCAGAGGCAGGUGGAUCUCUGGUCUACAGAGUUCCAGGACAGCCAGGACGACUACACAGAGAAACCCUGUCUUGAAAAACGAAACAAAAUGAUUGGAACAAGUGAAGUUUACGUCAUGAGAUGGCCAUGGCCUGAGGUGUGUGCAAGAGCAGCAGGAAGUGCCUGCUGUAAAGUGUUCCCAUAGGCUCUUGUUGUUGAACGCUUGUUCCCUGGAUGGAGGUACUGUUUGGGAAGUGUAUAUUAUUAGUGACGGUAUAAAUGGUUUGGAAGUUUUUAGAAUUUGAACAUUAACAGUUUCCAAGGGACUCUCUCUUCCUACGUCUCUAGUUCCUUUUCCAGUAAUUGAGGUUGUAAGCUGGCCCUGGACGUGCUGGGAUAGGAUUACCAUCUGAAAGAUUAAACCAGGAGCCGGUAAAUUGGCACAAAGAGGUUAGGAUAGUUCCUUUUGCCAUAAAAGGGAUUUAUGGUGAGGCUCCUAGAGGUUUGUAGGGGGAGAGGAGAGAAAGGCAAAUGUGGUUAAUUGACUCUCAGCUGGGGAGGCGCUUCCUCUCCAUGGUACUAAAAUUUUCUCUCCUUCCAUCCAAGUACUACACAGGCUGACCUGGCCCAGCUUCUGAGGUCAGAUGAGUUCUGUCGGCCUGACCCCAGACUCCCCCUCUUUUUAUCCAGACUGAGUUACUGCCCCCUUCUAGAUGGAACGACUAUCCCUCGGUUGCUUGUAGAUGGACCCAUAUUGUGCCUGUUGUAUAGAGAAGGGUUUAGGGUUGCCUGGCCCUCUUCCUUGAACCGUGACUUGUUUCAUAUAAUCUAAUACCUUAUUAUUCUUUAUCCUUGGAGUUUGAGAACUUUACUGAGGGCUGAAGAGAGGGCUCAUCCGAUAAGCGGACUUGCUGCUCUUGCAGAGACCUGGAUUCCCAGCACCCAUGAUCCUCUUCUUGCUUCC
Long non-coding RNA from Alexandromys fortis (reed vole), 3530 nucleotides. RefSeq lists it as uncharacterized. The record is from RefSeq and is a predicted model, not a curated record. The transcript has 3 exons. Lineage: Eukaryota; Metazoa; Chordata; Mammalia; Rodentia; Cricetidae.